RNAcentral lists this ribosomal RNA (426 nucleotides) under uncultured Eubacteriales bacterium. Its description in RNAcentral is "bacterial SSU rRNA". It matches the Rfam family "Bacterial small subunit ribosomal RNA", at positions 476 to 901 of the family's 1533-position model. The record is from RNAcentral. Lineage: Bacteria; Bacillati; Bacillota; Clostridia; Eubacteriales.
UACCCGUGGAGGAAGCCACGGCUAACUACGUGCCAGCAGCCGCGGUAAUACGUAGGUGGCAAGCGUUGUCCGGAAUUACUGGGUGUAAAGGGAGCGUAGGCGGGAUGCCAAGUUGGAUGUGUAAUACCGGGGCUCAACUCCGGGGCUGCAUCCAAAACUGGUAUUCUUGAGUGAGGUAGAGGCAGGCGGAAUUCCUAGUGUAGCGGUGAAAUGCGUAGAUAUUAGGAGGAACACCAGUGGCGAAGGCGGCCUGCUGGGCCUUAACUGACGCUGAGGCUCGAAAGCGUGGGGAGCAAACAGGAUUAGAUACCCUGGUAGUCCACGCUGUAAACGAUGAUUACUAGGUGUGGGGGGUCUCAAGCCUUCCGUGCCGGAGCUAACGCAAUAAGUAAUCCACCUGGGGAGUACGACCGCAAGGCUGAAACU